UACAGAGGGCGCGAGCGUUGUCCGGAAUCACUGGGCGUAAAGGGCGCGUAGGUGGCCACUAUAAGGCCGCGGUGAAAGUUCGGGGCUCAACCCUGAAUCGGCCGCGGCGACUGUAGGGCUUGGGCACUGUAGAGGCAGACGGAAUUCCGGGUGUAGCGGUGGAAUGCGUAGAGAUCCGGAAGAACACCGGUGGCGAAGGCGGUCUGCUGGGCAGUGGACCCGUGAGGGUCCAAUAGCCGACACUGAGGCGCGACAGCGUGGGGAGCAAACAGG
RNAcentral lists this ribosomal RNA (273 nucleotides) under uncultured bacterium. RNAcentral's name for it is "partial 16S ribosomal RNA". It matches the Rfam family "Bacterial small subunit ribosomal RNA", at positions 524 to 776 of the family's 1533-position model. The record is from RNAcentral.